This 433-nucleotide ribosomal RNA is filed under the name Enterobacter sp. RNAcentral describes it as "bacterial SSU rRNA". It matches the Rfam family "Bacterial small subunit ribosomal RNA", at positions 8 to 439 of the family's 1533-position model. Lineage: Bacteria; Pseudomonadati; Pseudomonadota; Gammaproteobacteria; Enterobacterales; Enterobacteriaceae. The record is from RNAcentral.
AGAGUUUGAUCCUGGCUCAGAUUGAACGCUGGCGGCAGGCCUAACACAUGCAAGUCGAACGGUAGCACAGAGAGCUUGCUCUCGGGUGACGAGUGGCGGACGGGUGAGUAAUGUCUGGGAAACUGCCUGAUGGAGGGGGAUAACUACUGGAAACGGUAGCUAAUACCGCAUAACGUCGCAAGACCAAAGAGGGGGACCUUCGGGCCUCUUGCCAUCAGAUGUGCCCAGAUGGGAUUAGCUAGUAGGUGGGGUAACGGCUCACCUAGGCGACGAUCCCUAGCUGGUUUGAGAGGAUGACCAGCCACACUGGAACUGAGACACGGUCCAGACUCCUACGGGAGGCAGCAGUGGGGAAUAUUGCACAAUGGGCGCAAGCCUGAUGCAGCCAUGCCGCGUGUAUGAAGAAGGCCUUCGGGUUGUAAAGUACUUUCAG